AUACGUAGGGUGCAAGCGUUAAUCGGAAUUACUGGGCGUAAAGCGUGCGCAGGCGGUUUUGUAAGACAGUGGUGAAAUCCCCGGGUACCAUCUGGGGACAGCCAUUGCGACUGCAAGGCCGGAGCGCGGCAGAGGGGGAUGGAAUUUCGCGUUUAGAAGUGAAAUGCUUAGAUAUGCGGAGGAACACCGAUGGCGAAGGCAAUCCCCUGGGCCUGCACUUACUCUCAUGCACGAAAGCGUGGGGAGCAAACAGGAUUAGAUACCCUGGUAGUCCACGCCCUAAACGAUGUCAUCUGGUUGUUGGGGAUUUAUUUUCUCAGUAUCGAAGCUAACGCGUGAAGUUUACCGCCUGGGGAGUACGACCGCAAGGUUAAAACUCAAAUGAAAUGGCUGG
RNAcentral lists this ribosomal RNA (394 nucleotides) under uncultured bacterium. Its description in RNAcentral is "partial 16S ribosomal RNA". It matches the Rfam family "Bacterial small subunit ribosomal RNA", at positions 523 to 917 of the family's 1533-position model. The record is from RNAcentral.